CCUACGGGAGGCAGCAGUGAGGAAUAUUGGUCAAUGGCCGAGAGGCUGAACCAGCCAAGUCGCGUGAGGGAAGACGGCCCUACGGGUUGUAAACCUCUUUUGUCGGGGAGCAAAGCGAGUCACGUGUGACUCAUUGAGAGUACCCGAAGAAAAAGCCCCGGCUAACUACGUGCCAGCAGCCGCGGUAAUACGUAGGGGGCGAGCGUUAUCCGGAUUCACUGGGUGUAAAGGGAGCGUAGACGGCCAUGCAAGCCAGGGGUGAAAGCCCGGGGCCCAACCCCGGGACUGCCCUUGGAACUGCAUGGCUGGAGUGCGGGAGGGGCAGGCGGAAUUCCUGGUGUAGCGGUGAAAUGCGUAGAUAUCAGGAGGAACACCGGCGGCGAAGGCGGCCUGCUGGACCGCGACUGACGUUGAGGCUCGAAAGCGUGGGGAGCGAACAGGAUUAGAUACCCUUGUAGUC
RNAcentral lists this ribosomal RNA (460 nucleotides) under uncultured bacterium. RNAcentral describes it as "partial 16S ribosomal RNA". It matches the Rfam family "Bacterial small subunit ribosomal RNA", at positions 338 to 795 of the family's 1533-position model. The record is from RNAcentral.